UGAGGAAUAUUGGUCAAUGGGCGCGAGCCUGAAACCAGCCAAGUCGCGUGAGGGAAGACGGUCCUAUGGAUUGUAAACCUCUUUUGUCGGGGAGCAAGAAAGGGUAUGCAUACCCUACUGAGAGUACCCGAAGAAAAAGCAUCGGCUAACUCCGUGCC
RNAcentral lists this ribosomal RNA (158 nucleotides) under uncultured bacterium. RNAcentral's name for it is "partial 16S ribosomal RNA". It matches the Rfam family "Bacterial small subunit ribosomal RNA", at positions 355 to 509 of the family's 1533-position model. The record is from RNAcentral.